RNAcentral lists this ribosomal RNA (236 nucleotides) under uncultured bacterium. RNAcentral describes it as "partial 16S ribosomal RNA". It matches the Rfam family "Bacterial small subunit ribosomal RNA", at positions 335 to 586 of the family's 1533-position model. The record is from RNAcentral.
ACUCCUACGGGAGGCAGCAGUGGGAAUCUUAGACAAUGGGCGCAAGCCUGAUCUAGCCAUGCCGCGUGAUCGAUGAAGGCCUUAGGGUUGUAAAGAUCUUUCAGAUGGGAAGAUAAUGACGGUACCAUCAGAAGAAGCCCGCCUGAACUCCAGCUGCCAGCAGCCGCGGUAAUACGGAGGGGCGGUAGCGUUAUUCGGAAUUACUGGGCGUAAAGCGCACGUAGGCGGAUCAGAAA